UACAGAGGGUGCAAGCGUUGUUCGGAAUUACUGGGCGUAAAGCGCGUGUAGGUGGCGACGUAAGUCGGGUGUGAAAUCCCUUGGCUCAACCAAGGAAGUGCACUCGAUACUGUGUCGCUUGAGUACUGGAGGGGGUGGCGGAAUUCCCGGUGUAGAGGUGAAAUUCGUAGAUAUCGGGAGGAACACCUGUGGCGAAGGCGGCCACCUGGACAGUCACUGACACUGAGACGCGAAAGCGUGGGUAGCAAACAGG
This 253-nucleotide ribosomal RNA is filed under the name uncultured bacterium. RNAcentral describes it as "partial 16S ribosomal RNA". It matches the Rfam family "Bacterial small subunit ribosomal RNA", at positions 524 to 776 of the family's 1533-position model. The record is from RNAcentral.